GCCAGGCGUGGUGGCUCACGCCUGUAAUCCCAGCACUUUGGGAGGCCGAGGCAGGUGGAUCACCUGAAGUCAGGAGUUCAAGACCAGCCUGACCAACAUGGUGAAACCCUGUCUCUU
Unclassified non-coding RNA from Callithrix jacchus (white-tufted-ear marmoset), 117 nucleotides. It matches the Rfam family "Metazoan signal recognition particle RNA". From Rfam's summary of the family: The signal recognition particle (SRP) is a universally conserved ribonucleoprotein. It is involved in the co-translational targeting of proteins to membranes. The eukaryotic SRP consists of a 300-nucleotide 7S RNA and six proteins: SRPs 72, 68, 54, 19, 14, and 9. Lineage: Eukaryota; Metazoa; Chordata; Mammalia; Primates; Cebidae. The record is from Ensembl.